Molecule: long non-coding RNA, 1031 nt
Organism: Zonotrichia leucophrys gambelii
Lineage: Eukaryota; Metazoa; Chordata; Aves; Passeriformes; Passerellidae
Exons: 2
Source: RefSeq, a predicted model, not a curated record
UGUACUAACGACGGAGUAUUUAUCCCAGCCUCUCGGGGAGGAUUCCCCGUCACCGCCGCCGGGGGCUGCGCGGGGAGGGCUGGGGACACACACACCGAGACGGGGAAAGCCCCUCCGUGGGCGCCGCGGGGCAGGGGGCUUCGCCGAGAGACAGCCCGGGAGCGCUCGGGAGGGCACGUCCUGUACCUGCUGAACUAGCCCUCAUCGGGGAAAGAUGGCUUUCUGCUCCAGGCUGGGAAAGUUUAGGAGGGGGCUGAGGACACAGCGUCCGUUUUGUUUCCUACCGCCGCCUUUCUCUCCCAGGGAGGUGAAGGGGGGUAUUUUAGUUCAUGGCAAUGAAGAAGAUGCUCUACCUGAAUAGUUCAGAUAUUUCCAGCAUCUUUUCUGAUGCAGGGCUAUCAGAAACGCUCACUCGUGAGGCACUCGUGGGGCUACGUCUAGUUUCCAGACUCCGGUAUGUUUAGUUCAAAAUGGUUAUCAAUUACGGUAAUUACGAUCAUAAUUAGAUUAAUGAACCGUUUGCAGCCCAACCUACCGAGUGCAAAAACUUCGUCUUCUCCCAACGUCGUGCACUGAAAGCGGGCUUUAUGUAAACAAAUCCAAAUGAAGGGAGCGUAAAUCUACAGAAUCUACCCCCGGCUGCACUGGGGACUGGCGGCCGUCCUUCCGUCGUUAAAAAAAAAAAAAAAAAGCAAAAAGAAAAAAAAGACGACCCCAAGCUCGCAGGAGCCACCUCUGUGUUUCCACGUCAGGGAAAAACCCAGACUCUCGCUGCCUUCAGAGGUCUAGUGGCAAUACAAAGGCUGCCCCGGAAAGCUCUAGGCUAAGCGUCGUCUUGUGGAGGGAUGCGAAGGAUUUGCUUACAGCAAAAAAAAAAAAAAAAAACCACCAAACCACCUCUCCCGUUUCCAGAAAGGAAAACCUAGCUGCAUGUCCUCGAUAACAACUACUCAAUAAAACUAGUUUUGCCAGCCAUGUGUACAAAAGCCACGCAUCUGGUAAGGAAUAAAAUGUUAGCGUUCAGCCCUUUA